CUCCUUGAGUAAAGUGGCGUACGGGUGAGUAACACGUGACUAACCUACCUCCGAAUGGGGAAUAACCUCGGGAAACCGGGGCUAAUACCGCAUAACAUCUACGGAUCAAAGCAGCAAUGCGUUUGGAGAGGGGGUCGCGGCUGAUUAGCUAGUUGGUGGGGUAAUGGCCCACCAAGGCUACGAUCAGUAUCCGGCCUGAGAGGGCGCACGGACACACUGGAACUGAAACACGGUCCAG
This 238-nucleotide ribosomal RNA is filed under the name uncultured bacterium. RNAcentral describes it as "partial 16S ribosomal RNA". It matches the Rfam family "Bacterial small subunit ribosomal RNA", at positions 82 to 334 of the family's 1533-position model. The record is from RNAcentral.